CAGGGGGGCUGCGGGGCAGGACUGAGGUGCACUGGCAGAGGUGCGUGGGGAAGCCAGGACUGGGAUAGCAGGGGGGCUGCGGGACAGGACUGAGGUGC
Long non-coding RNA from Gopherus flavomarginatus (Mexican gopher tortoise), 98 nucleotides. RefSeq lists it as uncharacterized. The transcript is spliced from 3 exons. The record is from RefSeq and is a predicted model, not a curated record. NCBI's taxonomy places the organism in Eukaryota, Metazoa, Chordata, Testudines, Testudinidae.